Molecule: ribosomal RNA, 497 nt
Filed under: uncultured bacterium
Lineage: Bacteria
Description: partial 16S ribosomal RNA
Rfam family: Bacterial small subunit ribosomal RNA
Source: RNAcentral
GAUGAACGCUGGCGGCGUGCCUAAUACAUGCAAGUCGAGCGAACAGACGAGGAGCUUGCUCCUCUGACGUUAGCGGCGGACGGGUGAGUAACACGUGGAUAACCUACCUAUAAGACUGGGAUAACUUCUGGAAACCGGAGCUAAUACCGGAUAAUAUAUUGAACCGCAUGUUUCUAUAGUGUAAGACGGUUUUGCUUUCCCUUAUAGGUUGAUCCGCGCCCCAUUAGCUAGUUGGUUAGGUAACCGCUUACCAAGGCAACGAUGCGUAGCCGACCUGAGAGGGUGGUCGGCCACACUGGAACUAAGACACGGUCCAGACUCCUACGGGAGGCAGCAGUAGGGAAUCGUCCGCAAUGGGCGAAAGCCUGAUGGAGCAACGCCGCGUGAGUGAUGAAGGUCUUCUGAGCGUAAAACUCGGUUAUUAGGGAAGAACAAAUGUGUAAGUAACUAGGCACGUCUUGACGGUACCUAAUCAGAAAGCCACGGCUAACUACGUG